AGCUCGGGUUCUAGGCCCCCGGCUGUAGCCACGCCGGCCCCUUCCUGGGACAGGGUUUUACUCAUUUUUUCAUUUAGUAGACACUGGGUUGUUGGACACCUGCCAGCAGGGCUGGCACUGGAGAGGCAGGGAGGGGCGAUCCAGGCGUCGUGCCUACCCUCAGAAUGCACAGACUGAUGGGAGGGCAGGCGGAGGGGUGCUGCUCACCUGGGUGGGCUAAGUAAAGGCAGUGGGACCUACCCAGACACGGGUGGGGAAAAGCCGAUGGUGGAGACUUCAAGCAAGAAAAAGAGUAGGGAGGAGUGUUUCAGGUCAGAAUCCUCCGCGAAACUGUGAUGUAGGCAAAAUUGUCUAUUCAAACUGUAGAUGAGAUGGAAGAAGCCCAGCAGGGGCAGGAUGCAGAAGAUGGCAAAGGAUUCUGGCAUACCUGGGCAUGCCCAGAACACCCGUGGCAGGAUCCACUGGAGGUCUGUUUUCAUGAGAAGACAGCAUCCUAGGAAAGAAUCCCUUCUUCAGGCAAGGCCAAAGAGAAGCCCAAGGAUAACAGAAUAGUCCCUGAACUCUGAAAAUAUUGGCCAACAUCUCUAUCAGCAAUGCCAUCUGUCUGCAGAGGAGAGCAAGUUUUUAGUCAGAGAGAGAGAACACAAGCAGGCGGAGCAGCAGACAGAGGAAAAGAGAGAAGCAGACUCCCCACCGAGCACGGAGCCUGACUUGAGGCUCGACGCGGGGUUCAAUCCCAGGACCCCAGGAUCAUGACCUGAGCCAAAGGCAGACGCUCAACCGACUGAGCCACCCAGGUGCCCCUAAGCUUAUUUGUUACAACACUCAGUCCAUUGUAUUUACUGAUCCUUUGAUCAGAUCCUUAGAAUGAAUAAUCACGACAUUAAAUUUAUUUUCAUGCUCACAUUUCUCUAAAGAAAAAGAGAAUGCACACAUGCACACACACAGAUGAGCAAGCGGAGAGAGCAAUAGAGGGGGAGGGAGAGGGAAAGAAUCUCAAGCAGACUCCACACUGAGAGCAGAACUUGACGUGGGGCUCGGGCUUGAUCCCACAACCCUGAGAUCAUGACCCCAGGCCAAACCAAGAGUCCUACGCUUAACCAGCUGAGCCAUCCAGGCGCCUCUCUUGCUCACCUUUAAUACGGGAUUUGAAAGAAAGUAUUAAAUCAAGUUCAGCAGACUCAGAGGAGUUGGUUCUUUGUUGAAUAAAUAUUGCCCCCUUUCAAGUGAAUUUAUCCUUUCCAGGAAUGUAAACUCUUCUAGACAUUGACUGAUAAUAAAAAUGUGGAUGGAAGCUCUCUUUUCCAUAGGGACAAUAUCAUAAGGAAAGCUCUCGUGAUUAGCUAACCUCACAGUUCUCAGAGACAUAAGGUGAAUUUUCAAGAGGCUAUCACUUCCCCAGGUUUUGUUUCAUUUCAGUGGAGGUAAGCUUGUGGAUUUCAAGAAUCCAUUCCUAGCUCUUUCCCUGAGACACAUUUAUUUAUUUUUCACAAUAUCAAAACCAGUGUAAUGGGAGAGUCCAUAAGCUUCACCUGCUUGUUGGACAAGUAAGAUCACAUUUACAUUUAUGUCCAAGUUACCCCAACUCUGGGACCUCCCUGCCUUGUCAGCAGGAAGGCUGGUCAGUUUGGGGGUGUAGCCUACCCUAAUAUAUGAAGUUUUCCUGCCGUGCUUGGAUAUGUCCCCAAAUUUGUCCCCAGUAUGUUCUCUCCGGCUGCCUGCUAGGGAAGCAGAAAUGCAGACAGUCCUUCAGGGACACAGGCCUCCAUCAUUGCAGGAGUCCACCCCACCCACACCCUACCUGGGGGCCUCCCGCUGGCUGCUGUUGCUGCCUCCAGCCCCGUGGCUCCGAUGUCCGAGGUGGCCCCGGCUCACUGGCUCUGCUCGCCAGGGUGCAGGUGUAGGUCAGCCACAGCGAAACUCUAGGAGAGCCUCAGAACCACAGUUCCGAUGGUGCUCGUGCCUGGUCCACCACCUCUACCACCCCGGGGAGACCGGCCCCACCUCUGGGUCCCUUAGUUGAGUGGGGAAGGCAGAGGCUGUUGCCCAUGUUACCGGUGUCCAGGGAAAGUAUCGGCACCCCAAGGCAGCGCAGCUUUUCCAACCCACACACAGCCGAGCCCCCAGGCCCGCCCAUGGUGCCAGUGGGCUGGCGUGAUCACGACAUAGGUGUGAGCUCCUGCCCGGGAGGGCUCGAUUUCCCAGACUAGAGUUAAGAAAUACCAGGGUGGGGCGCCUCAGUGUGGAGUGGCUCAGUCAGCUAAACAUCCAGCUCUUGAUUUCGGCUCAGGUCAUGAUCUCAGGGUUGUGAGGUCGAGCCCCACAUCAGGCUCCGUGCUGAGGGUGGGGCCUGCUUAAGAGUCUCUCUCUUCCUCUCCCCUCCCCCACUCUCCCUCUCUAAAAAAAAAAAAAAAGAAACACCAGUGAGACCACGCACUGGGGGGUUCCUUUCAGGACUCCCAUAAGGCCCCAUGCUGGUUAUUCUCCAUUUACCUGCUCACCCCCCAAAUCCAUUCUGCUUAUUCUCUGCCCUGCUUGGCCACGUUCUGCCAGUGGCUGCUUUCAGCAGUUAAAAGUACUAUUGAAAGGCCCAUCUUUCAUGCUCCCAGCUCUCAAUCUCCCUUUAGUCCCCUUAUCUCGUGGGUAGUUGUAGAGAGCAAAAUGGAGUCACUUGUGUCAGCGGCGGCUGGUGUUGGGCGGUGAUGCAAGCAGACAUGGGGGUUGCAGCUAAGACCAGAUGUCGCAGAAACUAGCCCAGGCUGAUGGCACCCAGGACUGAUACCCGGCAGAACCAGAGAAGGUCUGCCAAGGCCCAAGACCGAUUAAACUCCUUUAAAAUGGGAGGAUUUUCGCAGCAAACUGUCAGACUUUCUAGAUGCUGACCCUUUCACGUCUGACCCCAUCAGGUUCUGCCUGAUUGAUCUCUGAACAGAACAGAGAUCCUCCACUGCUUGAACAUAAUAAACAGCACGUGCCAAGAGCUGACCCAGAUGGGACAGGGGCCCCAUCUCAACUGCACGCUCACCUGACUUAGCAUUUGGUUUGUUCACUUCCUACCCCUUGUUAUAUCUUGGCAGUUGUGCGACUCUGGGCUGUGCUUUGCAGUGUGUGACGUGUGAGAAGCCACAUUAAACACACAGUGAAAUGUCAUUGAGCCCAGAAUCCUGAACCUGCUUUACUGUCAUGUUUACCUUGCUUUAUGAUUGAACAAAGCUGACAUGGGGGAAAGACACAACCAUAUGUGUGCCAUCAUAGUGUCCCCACGGAAGUAGUCUUCUCUAAAUUCUCCCAGUUAAACCUUCUGAGUUGCCACGAACCUGACUCCCACUGCCCCCCAGGACUCUUGAGGAAUCCUCGGCAGAGAGGUGGCUCCCCAAAGUCAUGAAAUUGACCAUCCUGUCAAUAAGGCAGCUGAAGACUGAGCCACGUUUAAUCUGACUUCGAAAAAUAGAAAAAUGUAGGCUUUCCUGCCCCUUAGCAUCGCAGAGCAAAUCCACACCCUGUUACCCAAGUUCGGACCUCUGUGAGCCACUGGACUCUCUCACUUGGCCACCCAGAGCUCGCCUGUAUUCUUCAACACUUUGUGAAGAGAUGUGAGGUGCAUAAGACUGUUUGUUGCCCUCUCCGUGACCCUGGGCUCCAGGGGCAGAAUCAGUGAGGGUCUGAGGCCCAUGUGCUCAGGGAGAAGCCCAGUUCCUGACACAGAUCUGGGGUUGAUGCCUUAACCCUACAAGUUCCUUGAUCCGAGCUGUUUCAUUUAGAAAGGGAGUCACUGACCAGAGAUAAGAUCAGGUAGGAUAAAGCCAUUGGAUUCUGCCCUCCCUUCUCAUUAAGUUGUAUCUUAAUAACUUGAUAUCAUUUUCUGGAUAGGCUGGUUACUCAUGUCUCCCAACAGCAACCCACAGAAUGCUUUAAUGAUUGUGGUGAUUGGUAACACCUGCUUUAAAUUUUUUCAUGUUAAAAAAAUAAAGCUGGCUCUCUACCUCACACCUUAGUAAAUUCCAGCUAUAAAAAUGUACACAUAUACCAACACAUACAAAACUCCAUAAAAGUACUGGGGAAGAAAAUAGGCGAUGUUUAUUUCAUCUUGGGAAGUGAAGGGGCAGGCCUUUCUAAAAAUGACACCAAAGCAAAAAACCAUUAAAAAAUAUGAUGGGUUAUGGGGCACCUUGGUGGCUCAGUUGAUCUCAGCUCAGGUCUUGAUCUCAGGGCUGUGAGUUCAAGCCCCACAUUGGGCUCUACACUGGACAUGGAGCCUGCUUAAAAGACAAUAAAAUUUAAAGAUGAUGGGUUUGACUAUAUAAAAAUUUGAAAUUUCUAUAUGCUACUAUCCACGUGGAUUAAAAGUCAAAGCAGAAACUGAGAAGCAACAUUUUGACACAUGAGAAGCAAAGGGAUAACGUUCCCAGUGCAUGAAUAACUCUCACGAACUAAUUAGGAGUAAAAGAAUACUCCAGUGGCAAAUAUGGAACGGAUAUGAUGACGUGGUAUUUGACUGACAUUUGCAAGUGGCCAAUGACCUCAUGAGAGGACGCUCAACCUCACUGGUAACCAAGGGAAGAUUAAAAAAGAAGAAGAAAAGAAAAGUAGGAGGAAAAAGAAAACCACACACAUAGCAUCAUCACCACAGAACCCAUGGGGUGUCUUUCCUCACCUCCUAAAAGAACAAAGGUGAAAAAGACUGUAACACCCAGUGGGGGUGAGGGUUCUCAUGCUACUUCUCACAUACUGGUGGGAAGAGUGUAAAUACUACAAACUUUUUGGAGAGAAGUCUGUCAAUAAGUAUCAGAAGCCUUAACAGAUGGAUACCUUUUGACUUAGCAAUGCUCCUGUUACCCCUGAUCUGGCCUUGAAAGGAGGGAUACCGUCUCUCUUGGCUACUCCAUCCAGAACAUGGGACCAGUUCCUCCUCUUAAUUCCCCCAGCAGAGCAAAGCCCAGGCUCUCUGAAGAGAUCAUGUAAUAAUUCACUUUUUCUAAUGAUUCAGGAAAUGGACAAGAAAAAAGAUUUCAAGGCUUUUCCGGUCGACCUUAUCUUAAUAUGAAAAAUCUUGACACAUUAACUUGGUAAUGAAGUGCAGGUUAUAUAGUACUCAGGAAAAAAAAAAAAAAACUGUUUUCAUAUUUUUAAAG
Long non-coding RNA from Mirounga angustirostris (Northern elephant seal), 5132 nucleotides. RefSeq lists it as uncharacterized. The transcript has 5 exons. The record is from RefSeq and is a predicted model, not a curated record. NCBI's taxonomy places the organism in Eukaryota, Metazoa, Chordata, Mammalia, Carnivora, Phocidae.